CAUACAGUGCAGUGAGUGUCCUUCAGGUUUCUCAAUGAUGUAUACUUCUUGAUUACAUCUAUAGGUGCAAGACCUAGCCUUCUAGCCAGAUUACACAAGAAUCAGAGUAUUCAUUAGCCAUACAAGAAAACUUGUUCCCGGACAUAGUAGUUUUAUGAACAGAUUUCACCUCGAUACUUGUUGAGGAGCUUUAUUCCUUAGUUGAGCUGGAUCAUGAUUCAGUAUACCACUUAUAACUUGCCUUGCAGUAGGUACAAUCCCUGAUCCUCCUUACCAAUUCCCUUCACCUAACCACUGUAAAGAUCUUGGAAGAUACAAAAACAACAACAACAACCCAGUACAAUCCCACUUAGUGGGGUCUGGGGAGGGUAGUGUGUACGCACUGGGGAAGGUAGUGUGUACGCAGACCUUACCCCUACCCUUGGGUAGAGAGGCUGUUUCCAAAUAGACCCCCAACAUCCUUCCUCCAAGAACUUCCCACCUUGCUCUUGGGGAGACUCGAACUCACAACCUCUCGGUUGGAAGAUACAAAAGUUAGGAAAAAAUGCUACAAGACACUGCAACGCCUUGGUCAAUUUAGACACAGACAAUAGAUUGUAUUUACACUCUGGUAUGUACAGCACACUACUGAAAUCCCGAUAGUUAAACACACUUGCUUUUCUUACAUGUAAAAUAGAGGCAGGCAAGUGAACCUUACUUCCUUUUGAGGUGAAACUACUGACAGGAACUUACCAUCUCUAAUGUGGAUGUUAUAUGGUUUGAAGCUCAAGAAUCUAUUAUCCAAUUGUGGUUAACAUGAUUGGAUAAUAGAGCUAUCAGUUUAUCUGCAGUUGCAGCUCUGGCCGAAGGACCUUCAUCUUCUCCCUUGUUCAGUAGAUUGAACUAUCUACUGAUAUUGCUCCUGAGUAAAGAAAGGAGUUGGUGCUUGUUGCUGAGUCUGAAGUCCAUAUGGUGAAAUCAUCAUCUGCAUUUGCUGAGGCACAUGCUAAAAUCCUGGUGAUGAGGACACUUGCAUAUGCUGUUGUCCACCUGUUAUUCCUUCUCCUCGGCCCUAUAAACCUCCAAAUUACAUAUGCAUCUGAGUGUUUUGCCUAGGAGGAUUGCAGUUAGGAGCAGUGUUGACAUGAUUGGCAUAUGCUCCAG
This 1143-nucleotide long non-coding RNA is filed under the name Nicotiana benthamiana. RNAcentral's name for it is "long non-coding RNA (NBEN_LNC032257)". Lineage: Eukaryota; Viridiplantae; Streptophyta; Magnoliopsida; Solanales; Solanaceae. The record is from RNAcentral.